RNAcentral lists this ribosomal RNA (497 nucleotides) under uncultured bacterium. RNAcentral describes it as "partial 16S ribosomal RNA". It matches the Rfam family "Bacterial small subunit ribosomal RNA", at positions 28 to 507 of the family's 1533-position model. The record is from RNAcentral.
GAUGAACGCUGGCGGCGUGCCUAAUACAUGCAAGUCGAGCGAACGGACGAGAAGCUUGCUUCUCUGAUGUUAGCGGCGGACGGGUGAGUAACACGUGGAUAACCUACCUAUAAGACUGGGAUAACUUCGGGAAACCGGAGCUAAUACCGGAUAAUAUUUUGAACCGCAUGGUUCAAAAGUGAAAGACGGUCUUGCUGUCACUUAUAGAUGGAUCCGCGCUGCAUUAGCUAGUUGGUAAGGUAACGGCUUACCAAGGCAACGAUGCAUAGCCGACCUGAGAGUGUGAUCGGCCACACUGGAACUGAGACACGGUCCAGACUCCUACGGGAGGCAGCAGUAGGGAAUCUUCCGCGAUGGGCGAAAGCCUGACGGAGCAACGCCGCGUGGGUGAUGAAGGUCUUCGGAUCGUAAAACUCUGUUAUUAGGGAAGAACAUAUGUGUAAGUAACUGUGCACAUCUUGACGGUACCUAAUCAGAAAGCCACGGCUAACUACGUG